Heterocephalus glaber (naked mole-rat) is the source of this 3107-nucleotide non-coding RNA. The record is from RefSeq and is a predicted model, not a curated record. Lineage: Eukaryota; Metazoa; Chordata; Mammalia; Rodentia; Bathyergidae.
CACUCUGGGAGUGUGUGUGGCCACCACAUGCUCUCCCACACCCACUUAAUAUCUGGAGGAUCAUGGGAAAAUGUAAGCUAAGUGUGCCAUUAGCAGGUGGGAUGAUGACCAUGUAAAUGGAAAUAAGCUUUCUGGAAAGCAAUUUGGUAUGGACUAUCAUAAGACUCCAACAUACUGUAUGUUGAACUUACCUCCAUAGGUCUGACAUACAGAAAUACAAUGACAGACGGGCCUGAAAUUAAUGGAUACAAGAAGGGGUUCCUCCACAUGCCUACUACCUCUUCUCUUUUGUGUUAUUUGGUUUUGUUUUGAGCCUAGGUCUCCCUACAUGGUCUAGGCAGGCCUGAACUUACCCAUCCUUCUUCCUCAUCCCCUCAAAAGCUGACAUUAUAGGCCUGUGCCACCAUGCCUGCCUCCCUUCUACUUCCUCCAUAACUGGCCCAAUCCAAGGCCUCACCCCAGGAGCUUACUCCUGGUCUCCUACCCACUGCCAGCCUGCCUGCAUGAGGUGUCCUUCUAAGCCCUCUCAUUAUAUUGUUUGUAAGCUCUUCUGAUGCAAGUACAUCCUGGAUUAUUUCAAUUCACUUGAUUUGUAUCUCCCCAAAGAGGCUGUGAAUUCCCUGAUACAUGGAUCAUCUUAGACUCCAAAAUAAAAGAAGGAAGCGACUCCCAUGAUAUUCAUGCUUCUGCCAACAAAAAAAGUGUUCUUUAGCCUGAAUGGUGUACAUACAGAAUAUUUUAGAGGAAAGUGAUAGACCUUGCAGGCACCUGCCCCUCUUUCCUCAUUUUCCUGUCUCUCAUUAUGACUCAGUUCUGAUAUUCUCAUGGCAAUCACCGGUCCUAGAACACAGACUUAUGUUUUCACUUGGCCACAGAGAUUCAACCUCUGAAGGAUUUCUCACGUCUGCUUGUCAGGACUGGAGAUUGAGAGAGCUUAUCUUUCAGCCUCAGGACUUGACAGAGACAGAAUACAACUAUAAUUUCAUGGCAACCCCAAACCCCAGCAGUGACUGCUCAGACUCAGAGCAGUCCCAUAUGAAAAUAAAUUCCACAGAGAGCCUCACAGGCAGUGAUCUCCCUGAUUCCCACACUUUCCACAAAGAGACAAAAACCUUCUUCAAAAGUUAUGUCUGUCACCAGGAGACAGUCAAUGGCCUCCCUGUUGUGGAAGGACCAGAGGACUCACAAAGUCUAGGAAGAUGUAUUGACAACAACUCUGACACCCACCACUGAGGACUACCCAAACCAGGUGUGUAUACAGAUUUAUCCUGAUGUGGAAGAGGAUGAGGAGACAGAUUCAGAUAGCAAAGGCACAGGAGCUGAUCAAAUUGUCACAACCAACAACCAGUGGAAAAAUAAGAAUUUAACAUACAGAGGGCCAUGUAUUGAUCCUGUGGAUGGCUGGCCAGUAAUUCAGCUUCUCAGUCCCAAACCCACUGAGGAACAAGCAACAGAAGAUAGUAACAAUGAGGAGAGAAAGGAGGAAAAUGAAAGCUAUGGAGAUGAACAUGAGGAAGCAAAUAAACUAAGUGAAAACUGCAAAGACCAAGAUGAAGGCAUGCUAAUGGGAUCAACUGAAAAAGAAAAAGAGGACAUGAAGAUCAAGAACAACAAAGACACCCAGAGUAAUGAAAAAGAGUAUGUGGAGCUUUACAAACAGGUGUAUGAAAGAUCUGAUGAUACCAGGCUUCCUGAUUCCAGUGAGGAUGAUGGAAAUACAGCACAAUGAGACCUACUUGGAGAAGAAAAACAUCCAAAACAAUGAAGACCCUCAGGACAAUGAUAAACAAAGCCAUGACUUUGACAAAGACAACACCCUCCAACUCUGAGAACCACCUGAGGAAAACUUCCAGCUGGGCAGCAGCUCCCCUCCUCAUCCAGCUCAGGUCCCAUGUGAAGAACACCAUGCAUGUGAGGACCUGCCCACAUGCAAACCACCAGAAAAUACACAAGUCACCCAAGUCCCAGAGAUGCCGGCAAUGCUCCCGGAAGAUGAACCUGCUGAGAUGCUAAAGACCAGGACCAAGGAGUCCUCCUCAGUCUCCCUGGGGGAGUCAGAGGAGGAUGACACUGGAUCUGACACACAAACCACAACCUGUGUGAACUGGAGGCAAGCCUUCUGCUGGCUCCAGAAAAGAGUCCUCUCAUGUGUGGGGAGGAGAUUGACAGCAGCCCAUGAGCAACCCCAGCCAAGAAAAUUCUUCCCACCUCUAAGGAAACCCACCCCAAAGAAACGCUCAGUGAUUAAUUAGCACAACUCAAUCCACUAAGCACACUAAGCAGUGUGAUGGCCCCAAUUCUAUAGUCCUGUAGUUUUAUUGUUUUAAGUAAAAUAUACAUUCUUGUUCUCCGUGUCUGCUCCCUCCAGCACAUCUUCUUGAUGCAGGCUGAAAGGAGCCAUGUUGUGUAGAGGACUGAAAUUCAUUUUCAGAAACUGAUAGUUAGCAUGUGCUUCCUGAAGUAUGCUGCUUCUCUCCUUUCACCCUCCUGCCCAGGUUUUGUUCAAUCUCACUGACUUUAUCCAUUUCAGGGAUUUCAUACUGUUUUGUCACUAACUCACAUCCCCACAUUUAGAAACCAGCAGCACAACCAUCAGACCCUCACCAGGGUGGCAUGCUUUGGGGUGAUUGUCCAGCACCUGAGCAAGCAGCAGUGCAGGUCCAGUCAUUCAGGGAGCCGACUCCAGUUGACAGUGUUUGGAGCAUGCAGAAAGCAAUGCUCAUGGUCCUGGGACACCAGGCUUCUUCUGGCAUCUUGGUGACUCCUAUUAGUAACAAAAUCUCAGACAUGCCAGUGGCACACUCCUGCAAUCCCAGCUACUCUCCUGGCUAGAUUCUUAAAUAUAUUUAAUUACCAAAACUUAGCCAAAAUUUACAAGCCCUGAAUAAUUUAAUAGUGAACAGUGAAAUUGAAGCAGCAAUAAUAAUGAAAAAGAGUACCAGCUAAGAAAAGCCCAGAUCCUGAUAGAGUCACUGCUGAACUCCACAAGAACUUCAGAGAGGAUCUCAUGGCCUCUUUAAACUCUAAUGAAAUUGAAAGGGAAGUCAUUCCUAGAACUACCAUUACCCACAUUCCAAAUCCAGCCAAGGAUCUCAACCAAAAAAGGG